Molecule: ribosomal RNA, 271 nt
Filed under: uncultured archaeon
Lineage: Archaea
Description: partial 16S ribosomal RNA
Rfam family: Archaeal small subunit ribosomal RNA
Source: RNAcentral
CAGCGCCACGAGUAGCAACCACGUUUAUUGGGCCUAAAGCGUUCGUAGCCGGUCUGAUAAAUCUUCUGUGAAAUUGUCUGGCUUAACCAAACAACGUGCAGGAGAAACUGUCAGACUUGAGACCGGGAGGUGCUAGAGGUAUUCAUGGGGGAGCGGUAAAAUGUGAUAAUCCUUUGAAGACCACCUGUGGCGAAGGCGUCUAGCAAGAACGGAUCUGACGGUGAGGGACGAAAGCCAGGGUAGCGAUCCGGAUUAGAUACCCGAGUAGUCC